ACUUCACCACCAUGAACAUCCAACAAAUAUCAAGAUCGAAAAAUGUGAGGACUGACCUCUUAUCCAAGCUCACGAUGCUCGAUACGAUCGACCUAAAAAGAAGCUCAUACUUAGAAACCCUCGAGAAGUCGAGUAUUGAGGAGUCUCCUGUGAUGCAGACAGAUUCUGAGUUGAGCUAGAUAGAUCCGAUCUUUUAGUACCUACAAGAUGGAGUAUUGUCUGCUAAUUGAGACGAAGCC
This 239-nucleotide long non-coding RNA is filed under the name Elaeis guineensis (African oil palm). Its description in RNAcentral is "long non-coding RNA (EGUI_LNC075234)". Lineage: Eukaryota; Viridiplantae; Streptophyta; Magnoliopsida; Arecales; Arecaceae. The record is from RNAcentral.